UACGUAGGGGGCAAGCGUUGUCCGGAAUCAUUGGGCGUAAAGCGCGUGUAGGCGGCUGAGCAAGUCCGCUCUGAAAGCCCGAGGCUCAACCUCGGGAGGCGAGUGGAUACUGCUCAGCUCGAGUCCGGAAGAGGAGUGUGGAAUUCCUGGUGUAGCGGUGAAAUGCGCAGAUAUCAGGAGGAACACCAAUUGCGAAGGCAGCACUCUGGGACGUGACUGACGCUGAGACGCGAAAGCGUGGGGAGCAAACAGGAUUAGAUACCCUGGUAGUCCACGCCGUAAACGAUGGGCACUAGGUGUGGGAGGUGUCGACUCCUCCCGUGCCGGAGCUAACGCAUUAAGUGCCCCGCCUGGGGAGUACGGCCGCAAGGCUAAA
This 376-nucleotide ribosomal RNA is filed under the name uncultured bacterium. Its description in RNAcentral is "bacterial SSU rRNA". It matches the Rfam family "Bacterial small subunit ribosomal RNA", at positions 524 to 898 of the family's 1533-position model. The record is from RNAcentral.